Syngnathus acus (greater pipefish) is the source of this 665-nucleotide long non-coding RNA. RefSeq lists it as uncharacterized. The transcript is spliced from 3 exons. NCBI's taxonomy places the organism in Eukaryota, Metazoa, Chordata, Actinopteri, Syngnathiformes, Syngnathidae. The record is from RefSeq and is a predicted model, not a curated record.
CGACAAAACAUUUUUUUUUUUUUAAAGUGAGAGCAGUUCUUACCCUCUCUCCAUCCUCUCCGGGUGCACCAGGUGGCCCAUGGGGUCCUGCUUCACCCUGGAACCAAUCACAAUAGUGUCAGGAAAACAAACAUUUUCAUGGUGGGGGAAGCAAUCAGUCACUCACUCUGUGUCCUUUUUCGCCAGGAAGUCCAGCCAGACCGUCGAAGCCGCGAUCUCCCUGAAAACAAAAAGAGGUUACAGCACUUUGAGGUUUUGGGAUUGUUGCAUUUCAACCCAUGUCCAAACGGGGGUCCACGUACCUUGGGUCCAGAUUGACCUGGCAUCCCUCUGGCACCGUCAGCUCCGGCACGUCCCUGUCAAGGCAGCAUCAGGACUGUGCCAGCGGGUCCAGGUAGACCAUCAGCACCAGGAAGACCGGGACGACCUGGAAGACCCUGAUGGGCGGCGGAAGCGAGACAAGCCACCAGACCCGUACUUAUAUAUGGACGUUUGUCCCACUGACCACGACAUCCACUUGAGAAACCAAACCACAAACCAACGCUACUUUCGGGUAAGUAGCACUGCUUCACAACUGCGUGACCACCGCUGAGUCGGCAUGUACUACAUUCACAGCAAUUGCUAGAGAAUUUAUGCACAGAACAUGCUGACAGAGCAAAUAUUUC